AACAACGAAUCAAUCAGUCAUUGCUUGUAACACUAUGAGAAUUGCUACUUUAUUUGAAUCAAUCUACAAGAUUUCACUAAUUAAAGAAAAAGCUUGAGAUACAAAGUCACUCCUCUUUGCUUCCAUUAGUGUAUUUUGUUAUCUUACCUUAAAUCUGAACAAGACAGUUUUCUCCAGCAUAAGGAGAAGCCAUAAUGAUGAGUGUCACAAAAGGAAGUAACAUUUUCAAAUCGUUCAUUCUCUUUUCCUUGUCCAUGAGUCUUCCAUUCUCUCCACUGUUCCAGGAUGCAGCUCAAACUGGUGUGCAGCAUGUCCUUCUACAUGUAUCCCUUUGACGUCCAGCAAUGCACCGUCUUUAUCAAGAGCUUUAGCUAAAAUGAACUGCUACAACGUCACUGCGGCGAGAUUACCUAAACGUUUCUAUAUCUCAAAAAAAAAAGUCUGCGGCGCCCUCUAGAAUCUCUGCCACUGAAAUCAAUGAGACACGCAAGAGAAAAGCCGAGAUGGUUGGCCGCUUGGGAUUACCGGUCUGUUUCCUGCUGUUCAACCUCGCCUACUGGCCUUCCUACCUGACCCCGAGCCUCUACGCCCUCGAUUCAGCCGCCCACCACUGUGUGCGGCGCCCUCUUGUCGCGUUUGUGAGGUGAAAAGUAUUAAAUCGUGCUACAUAUGUUCCAAACUACCGGAUUUUUAUUUACGGUCAUGAAGAGUUUUGAAUUUUAUACUCAAAAAGAAAGCUCUGCUGUGUAUUUUCAAUAAACUAUACAAUCAUGCAGUUUUC
Molecule: long non-coding RNA, 781 nt
Organism: Portunus trituberculatus (swimming crab)
Lineage: Eukaryota; Metazoa; Arthropoda; Malacostraca; Decapoda; Portunidae
Exons: 3
Source: RefSeq, a predicted model, not a curated record